CCUCACAGGGUUCUCCCUCUCUGCCACUUGCCGCUGCAUCGGUGAGUGUGGUCGGGGAGCCGAGAUAGCUUGAAUAAAGACUGUUUGCUUUUGCAUCGGACUCAGCUGGCUCCCUGGUGGUCUUUUGGGGAUCUUGAAAUCUGGGCAUAACAUCUGGGGGCUUGUCCGGGAUUCCCAAGACCCUCGAGGGACCCCCGAUCCAGAGAGUCUGACUGACCGCGUGCCCGAAGCGGUCUAGGUGGAUGCACUGCUGAAGGACCACGGGCGGGGAGAGUUGGAAAACGUUCCGCUC
Molecule: long non-coding RNA, 292 nt
Organism: Myotis brandtii (Brandt's bat)
Lineage: Eukaryota; Metazoa; Chordata; Mammalia; Chiroptera; Vespertilionidae
Exons: 3
Source: RefSeq, a predicted model, not a curated record